UACGAAGGGGGCUAGCGUUGUUCGGAAUUACUGGGCGUAAAGCGCGCGCAGGCGGUCUUCCAAGUCAGUGGUGAAAGCCCGGAGCUCAACUCCGGGACUGCCAUUGAAACUGUUAGACUUGAGGACGAGAGAGGUGAGUGGAAUUCCCAGUGUAGAGGUGAAAUUCGUAGAUAUUCGGAAGAACACCAGUGGCGAAGGGCGACUCACUGGACACGUAUUGACGCUGAGGUGCGAAAGCGUGGGGAGCAAACA
This 252-nucleotide ribosomal RNA is filed under the name uncultured bacterium. Its description in RNAcentral is "partial 16S ribosomal RNA". It matches the Rfam family "Bacterial small subunit ribosomal RNA", at positions 524 to 774 of the family's 1533-position model. The record is from RNAcentral.